AGAGUUUGAUCCUGGCUCAGAACGAACGCUGGCGGCAGGCCUAACACAUGCAAGUCGAGCGCGCCUUCGGGCGAGCGGCGGACGGGUUAGUAACGCGUGGGAACGUGCCCAGAUCUACGGAACAGCCACUGGAAACGGUGAGUAAUACCGUAUACGCCCUUCGGGGGAAAGAUUUAUCGGAUUUGGAUCGGCCCGCGUUAGAUUAGGUAGUUGGUGGGGUAACGGCCUACCAAGCCUACGAUCUAUAGCUGGUUUUAGAGGAUGAUCAGCAACACUGGGACUGAGACACGGCCCAGACUCCUACGGGAGGCAGCAGUGGGGAAUCUUGGACAAUGGGGGCAACCCUGAUCCAGCCAUGCCGCGUGAGUGAAGAAGGCCCUAGGGUCGUAAAACUCUUUCGCCUGUGAUGAUAAUGACAGUAGCAGGUAAAGAAACCCCGGCUAACUCCGUGCCAGCAGCCGCGGUAAUACGGAGGGGGUUAGCGUUGUUCGGAAUUACUGGGCGUAAAGCGCACGUAGGCGGAUUAGAAAGUUAGAGGUGAAAUCCCGGGGCUCAACCCCGGAACUGCCUUUAAAACUACUAGUCUAGAGUUCGAGAGAGGUGAGUGGAAUUCCGAGUGUAGAGGUGAAAUUCGUAGAUAUUCGGAGGAACACCAGUGGCGAAGGCGGCUCACUGGCUCGAUACUGACGCUGANGUGCGAAAGUGUGGGGAGCAAACAGGAUUAGAUACCCUGGUAGUCCACACCGUAAACGAUGAAUGCCAGUCGUCNGGUA
RNAcentral lists this ribosomal RNA (773 nucleotides) under uncultured marine microorganism. Its description in RNAcentral is "bacterial SSU rRNA". It matches the Rfam family "Bacterial small subunit ribosomal RNA", at positions 8 to 829 of the family's 1533-position model. The record is from RNAcentral.